GAAAGCCUGACGGAGCAAUACCGCGUGAGGGAAGAAGGCUCUUGGGUUGUAAACCUCUUUUCUUAGGGAAUAAAAAAAUGAAGGUACCUAAGGAAUAAGCAUCGGCUAACUCCGUGCCAGCAGCCGCGGUAAUACGGAGGAUGCAAGCGUUAUCCGGAAUGAUUGGGCGUAAAGCGUCCGCAGGUGGUACAACAAGUCUAGUGUCAAAGACCGGGGCUCAACCCCGGAAAGGCGGUGGAAACUGUUGAACUAGAGGGUCGUAGGGGUAGAGGGAAUUCCCAGUGUAGCGGUGAAAUGCGUAGAGAUUGGGAAGAACAUCGGUGGCGAAGGCGCUCUACUGGACGGCACCUGACACUCAGGGACGAAAGCUAG
RNAcentral lists this ribosomal RNA (372 nucleotides) under uncultured cyanobacterium. RNAcentral describes it as "bacterial SSU rRNA". It matches the Rfam family "Bacterial small subunit ribosomal RNA", at positions 377 to 763 of the family's 1533-position model. The record is from RNAcentral. Lineage: Bacteria; Bacillati; Cyanobacteriota.